UUUUUCUUUCUUUAAUUUUUUUAUUUUAUCCUUUUUGAAGAAAUGGUUUCUACGUGGUCUGCUUUAAACAGUCAGUGACACUAUUCAUUGUGAACACGUAUCGUUCCCACCGCUACUUUCAUUCGUUUUCUGCCACGUCUCCAUUCACCGCUUCCUCUGCUUUUUCACCAUCUGAUUGAUAUCUUUUGCUUCAUUCUUUCAUACAUGUUCUUCCAAAUCGACCCACAAAUGUUAAUGUGGUUUCCCCAUCUGCUUAAACGAACCACAGAGAACGCAGAUGCUCAACGUACAUCGAUUUUUUGAGGGAUGGAAAAAGCAAGGGUCGGCACACACACAUAUAAACGGUCUCUCUUCAGCUUCUACUAUGCCACUGCUUCUUCAACACUCGAACAAAGAAAGGUCCAUCUAAUUCACUGUCAUCGUCAAGUUCAUCAGCCGGUAUUCCUUCAAUUCUCUUUCUAUUUCAAUAUCACAUAAAAUUUAUGUGGUUUGGAUCGAUUGGAUUCAGUUUUCAGACACAUGUUGAUGUUUUUUCCCUGUUUCUCUUUUUGCUCCUCUGAUUGAGUCGUCUACGAUUCGUGACCGUUGUCAAGUCGAUUAUAAAGAUUCAAGAUGUGGCGGCCGUGGUCAUGUAUACCGGAAAUAACGAUGAACGAAGAACCUGUUACGGAGGUGGAGUGGAGAAGGGAACCGAAUUGGAUGGUUUCGACGACCCACAAUGUAAAAAAAUUCCAAGCUUUUGAAGAAUGAUUUCCUCUAUAAUCUCCAUGCUUCCAAUCUCUUCAUCAUUCACUUCCACCAGUAUUGCAAUAAUCACCACCAUCAACUGGUCCAUAACUAUACGAUACAAAGCCACAGCAUUCCUAAAAAAAUCAUCGUCUCAAACCCACCUUAACUCCAAAUCCCCCCAAUUUCCUGUUGUUGAAAAGGCUCUUAGGGUUCUCGAGUGGGAUAAAGUCUGUGAUUCGGUUGCUUCAUUUGCAGGUACUUCAUUUGGACAACAACCCACCAAGGCAGAGCUACUGUGUUUGGAUCAAUCAUACCAAGAGAGUUUGUGACUAUUAGCAGAGACAAAUGCGGAUCGAUAAAAAAAACAAGGAAGGGAUAUUUGAUAAAAAAGUGGCGGGUGGUGGUGGUGGUGGUGGAAAUGGUUACUAAGGUUGUGUACAAACUAAGAGAAGAUAAAAAAGAGUUUCAGAAGCAGUUUGGAUCGUAAUGGAAGGAAUCAGAAAAAAUGCUAACCCCAGGACGAGGUCAUCUGCAAAUGGUAAUUAUAUGGAUGGUGUGUUCUUCCUCACUACAUAUCAUAGGACGUGUUUUAAUGGUCAUAAGUAACAUCCAUUUAUAUAAUUUAUUUGUUUAAUUUCAUUUAAUAAUGAAUCCAUGCCACAAGAUCGAUUCAAGAUGUUCCUUUAUAAUGUUACAUAUUCAUUUAAAUCAUUAUUGAACAUUUUACCUU
Non-coding RNA from Lactuca sativa (garden lettuce), 1459 nucleotides. NCBI's taxonomy places the organism in Eukaryota, Viridiplantae, Streptophyta, Magnoliopsida, Asterales, Asteraceae. The record is from RefSeq and is a predicted model, not a curated record.